AAUCCAUGGUUAGGGCAUCACCUAAGUAGGUCAUUAUAUCGUUCCCAAGCCUCGUAAAGUGGUUCGCCCUCCGUUUGAGAAAAAUUUGAAAUCUCAUUACGCUU
RNAcentral lists this small nucleolar RNA (104 nucleotides) under Olea europaea subsp. europaea. RNAcentral describes it as "Plant small nucleolar RNA R71". It matches the Rfam family "Plant small nucleolar RNA R71". Rfam says of the family: R71 is a member of the C/D box family of snoRNAs containing the C (UGAUGA) and D (CUGA) box motifs. Multiple nearly identical copies of this snoRNA have been identified in Arabidopsis, and it is thought to function as a 2'-O-ribose methylation guide for 18S ribosomal RNA. The record is from Rfam by way of RNAcentral. Lineage: Eukaryota; Viridiplantae; Streptophyta; Magnoliopsida; Lamiales; Oleaceae.